This 337-nucleotide unclassified non-coding RNA is filed under the name soil metagenome. RNAcentral describes it as "partial contains 5.8S ribosomal RNA, internal transcribed spacer 2, and large subunit ribosomal RNA". The stretch from base 1 to 120 matches the Rfam family "5.8S ribosomal RNA", at positions 35 to 154 of the family's 154-position model. The record is from RNAcentral.
GAUGUAGAACGCAGCGAAAUGCGAUAAGUAGUGUGAAUUGCAGAAUUCAGUGAAUCAUCGAAUCUUUGAACGCACAUUGCGCCCCUUGGUAUUCCAUGGGGCAUGCCUGUUCGAGCGUCAUUUGUACCUUCAAGCUCUGCUUGGUGUUGGGUGUUUGUCUCGCCUCUGCGUGUAGACUCGCCUCAAAACAAUUGGCAGCCGGCGUAUUGAUUUCGGAGCGCAGUACAUCUCGCGCUUUGCACUCAUAACGACGACGUCCAAAAGUACAUUUUUACACUCUUGACCUCGGAUCAGGUAGGGAUACCCGCUGAACUUAAGCAUAUCAAUAAGCGGAGGA